GACGAACGCUGGCGGCGUGCUUAACACAUGCAAGUCGAACGAUGAACCCGGAGCUUGCUCUGGGUGAUUAGUGGCGAACGGGUGAGUAACACGUGAGUAACCUGCCCUUGUCUCUGGGAUAAGCGUUGGAAACGCCGUCUAAUACCGGAUAUGACCUUGGAACGCAUGAUCUGGGGCGGAAAGUUUUUUCGUUCUGGGCUGGUAUCGUGGCAUAGCAGCUUGUUGGGGAGGUAAUGGCUCACCAAGGCGUCGACGGGUAGCCUGCCUGAGAGGGUGACCGGCCACAGUGGGACCGACACAGGGAGGAGACUCCUGCGAGAGGUAGGAGUGGGGAAUAUGGCACAAGGGGCGAAAGCGUGAGGGAGCAGCGGGGCGUGCGGGAGGAAGGCUCUCGGGUUGGAAACCACCUAAAGUAGGGGAGAAGGGCUUCGGCUUGACGGUACCUGCAGAAAAAGGACCGGCUAACUACGUG
This 472-nucleotide ribosomal RNA is filed under the name uncultured bacterium. RNAcentral's name for it is "partial 16S ribosomal RNA". It matches the Rfam family "Bacterial small subunit ribosomal RNA", at positions 28 to 507 of the family's 1533-position model. The record is from RNAcentral.